AAAAGGAGAAUGCAGAGUGACUGUUAAUGGGUUGGGUGCUUUCUUUGUGAGGUGAUGCAAAUGGUCUGGAAUUAGUGGUGGUGGUUACAUAGUUUUGUGAAUAUACUAAAAAUUAACUAUAUACUUUUAAAAGGUGAGUUUUAUGGUUUAUGAGUUACAUCUCAAAAGUUAUAAGCUGGGAAAUUAUCAAGGAAAUAUAAAAUAGAAUUUAAGUGAACAAAAGCUAUAAGCAAAAACAAGGGUGAAAUCUUAGAAGAAAAUACUAAAUGAACAAAACAAGAUGCAACUCUCUUGAGUACCCCCACACUCCCUUGAGUGUGCACUUUUUGCUUUGAAAUAAAAUCUCUGUACUUUCACUAUUUUCUGACUCAUCCUUGAAUUCCUUCUCAUGAUGGUGUCAAGAGUCUGGACACCGGCUGGCGCUGAGGUCCCAUCGGCAUUUGGGGACCCCCCCCCUCCAGCCUACCAGUAUCAUCUUUAUGGCCAUCCAGCCCAGAGCAUCAUCAGCCACAUCAGAACCACCAGCAGUUGCCUGACUCCCCUCAGCCGUAGUGCCUCUGCUUCCUCCAGCUGGAAAACGCAGUUCGCCCUGACAGUGACAAAUGGAGGUGGGAAGGCUUUGACCUACACCUGAGCUCUGAGGUGCCAUGGGCCUCCUGGGCAAG
Molecule: long non-coding RNA, 665 nt
Filed under: Homo sapiens (human)
Lineage: Eukaryota; Metazoa; Chordata; Mammalia; Primates; Hominidae
Description: HSALNT0343363
Source: RNAcentral